GAUGAACGCUGGCGGCGUGCCUAAUACAUGCAAGUCGAGCGAACAGACGAGGAGCUUGCUCCUCUGACUUUAUCGGCGGACGGGUGAGUAACACGUGGUUAACCUACCUAUAAGACUGGGAUAACUUCGGGAAACCGUAUCUAAUACCGGAUAAUAUAUUGAACCUCAUGGUUCAAUAGUUAAAUACGGUUUUUCUUUCACUUAUAGAUGGAUCCGGCCCGCAUUAGCUAGUUGGUAAGGUAACGGCUUACCAAGGCAACGAUGGGUAGCCGACCUGAGAGGGUGAUCGGACACAUGGGAACUGAGACACGGCCGAGACUCCUAGGGGAGGAAGCAGUAGAGAAUCUUACGGAAUGGAGGAAAGCCUGAUGGAGCAAAGCGGCGUGAGUGAUGAAGGUCUUCGGAUCGGAAAACUAUGUUAUCAGGGAAGAAGAAAUGUGUAAGUAACUAUGAACGUAUUGACGGUACCUAAUGAGAAAGCCACGGCUAACUACGUG
RNAcentral lists this ribosomal RNA (497 nucleotides) under uncultured bacterium. RNAcentral's name for it is "partial 16S ribosomal RNA". It matches the Rfam family "Bacterial small subunit ribosomal RNA", at positions 28 to 507 of the family's 1533-position model. The record is from RNAcentral.